Zootermopsis nevadensis is the source of this 1000-nucleotide long non-coding RNA. RefSeq lists it as uncharacterized. The record is from RefSeq and is a predicted model, not a curated record. Lineage: Eukaryota; Metazoa; Arthropoda; Insecta; Blattodea; Termopsidae.
GGCACUGCAGGGUCGUAGAUUCCAAGACCUUGCGAUAAACAGCCAAUGGCUCAGUUUCUUUCAGUGUCUACACACCACAGACAAAACACAGAGCGAGUGCUUAGGAACGCCUAAGUGAAAACUGAUUCUACCUGAGAAGUAACUUGAAGAUUCUUGCAUCUACGACGUUUUACAACUCCGUACGAUGUGAAGUGGUCUUGGUACAAGGCCUGUGACCUAUGAAUUUGUAAUGGUUUAUUACGAAGCCGUCGUGAGAUGUCUUAAUACAGGCUAAUUAAUACCCUAGACUAUGAGAGGAAGGACUGAGGAAACCCUCAGUGAUUGUGGCAGGUUUCCGGGACUAUGCUCCAAAAGGGAACAUCAUGAAAACGAAACCAGACCCCACAGCACCAAGGUGGUCGAAUGUAGAUCGUGGAUGGAGGCUGUUUGAAGAAAGUGCCGAUCAGAAUAGCUGAAACAGCGACGGGGAGAUUUGUAACAUUUUGAAUUUAACGACAGUAAACGAUAUGCAAAUUGAAUCUGCUAUUAAUGUGACCAUCGACAAUUGUGAAAGCCUUAUUGUGUAUCGUAAGUACUUGAACUUCGCCACAUUUUCAAAUGUUAUAUCAGGGCUUUCUGUUAAUCAAGGGUGGUCAACCAAGGUGAAGUUUAAGCCCAUAAUUGUUUAACACUUUUAUAAAUGAUAUUAUGGAAUAUAUAAGAAAGUACUCAGUUCUUAUGCUCCGUCAACAGGGUGAACAACUAUUCCGUUUCUGCUAUUCUUCAUAAGCAUCGGUUCACAUUUGGAAAUAUACCAAAUAGCAAACUACUGUAAAUAACGAAAUUUAAAGUGAAAAUUUGUGUAAACCAAAAACAGCUGUAUUUACAGGGAGCACAUAAAUUUAAUAACAUAAAAAUAUAUAAUAGCUUAGUUUUUGCUUGUGUAUGUUUAUAACCGACUUGGUAAUUUUUAUUUAGUAUAUACGAGGUGCGAUCGGAAAGUUUCAAGACUGCGCGUAUA